RNAcentral lists this long non-coding RNA (925 nucleotides) under Sorghum bicolor (sorghum). RNAcentral's name for it is "long non-coding RNA (SBIC_LNC001289)". Lineage: Eukaryota; Viridiplantae; Streptophyta; Magnoliopsida; Poales; Poaceae. The record is from RNAcentral.
AAGAAACAGAGCCCUAGCUAGCAGCGAGGAUUGCAGUGCUUGUUCAGGACCUCGCGUACUGCAUCCCAAGCCAGUGGUGGGCCCAAUGGGUAGUUCAGAUAGGCACAAGACUACUCUGGAUUUUGGCACAAAAUUUUUCAGUACUGAUUCUCUCAGCCCAAAAAAACUUGGCCCAUGGCUCUGUUCAUCCUGUAGCAAGGCAGCGAGCGCUCCACCGGUCGCUUCCCCGUCUCCCCGACUCCCGCAGGCCGCCAGGCCGCAUCCCGCUGUCCCGCACUCCCGCAGUUAUGCACAGCAGCACAGGUCGUGACUCGAACUCGCGAGCGGCCGAGCGCCGCCGUGUCGGAGACCGAGGAGGAGCCGUCGCCGCCACGGUCCGCCAGGCGCCAGCGCUCCCAUGACCCCAUCCGCUCCCGGCUCCUGCAUAGGCGCUCCCGUCGUCUGCUCCCGUCCGGCUCCGGUCCGGCUGUCCCCUCCGCUCGACCCCCGAGCCCCCGACAGCGGAUGGCUCACGGCCAGGCGGCCAGCACUCAAGCAGCGCCGCAGCGGGCAGCGGCAGCGGCCACGGCACACGGCCAGCACAGGUGAAUUGGUGAGUUUAAUUUUUUCCCCAUAUGGCUAUGGCUUUAUGAUUUAGGGAUUUGAUUUUCUCUAAAUCUGUGAUUCUGUGAAACUGUGAGCCAAGAAUUGAAUCAAUUUUUUUAUGUUUAGGAAGUUGAGGCAUGAAGAAACCAAAUAUAGCAGUUCUUUUUCAGAAACAUGAGAAAGCGCAAAUUAAAGUAGCUUUUUAUAUUUAUGUAAGACCUUAUCUUAUAUAUAAUCUAUUUGUACAAGUUUCAGACCAAUUUAUGUAAGCUUUGAACAUUAAAUUGUAUUGUCGCAGUUUGUUUAUUUUAUAGUCAUUUUACCGAAUUUUUUCUUUGAA